AAAUGGUUUUGUGUGAUGGAAUGAACGAGACAAAGCACUCUCCUCUCCUUCGCUGGCAGGGAAGACAGUCGGUUUCUGAGUGGAGCUGACACUUCUAUUCAUGACUUCAAUUGAGAGAUGAGUUUCAAGCCACCUUUCAAGGAAUCCUGGGUAGAAUGAAAUCUGUUCCAUGGAAUCUUAAGAAGAAGAAGAAAAAAAAUCAAGAUCCCUGUGGGCAAAGUCAUUUGCUGUCAUGCUUGGAAGGAGUAGAACCAAGUGUUUAUGAGCAUGGACUUUGGAGUCAGGAUACUCUCCUGAUAUACCACGAUGCAGAAUGUCAAGUAGGAAAAGAAGCUGUUGCAUUGGGCAAUUAAGAAGUCAUUGGUGAGAGAAGUUUCAGUCUGAAGUGGAAUCAUAGUAAAUUACAGAAAAAUAGUCUUUGGAGAGAGAAGGAAUCUGGUUAAUCCACAGGCCACACAAUCAUGGUUGAAAAUUAGUGAAUGAGCGAAUGAUGGAUCCAUCUCUUGAAGCAAUACUUGAAUCGCAGAAUUCUUAUAUUGAUAGAAGCAGAAGGAAACCAGAAGUGCUCCAAUUAAAGGCCUCCAUUUUUCAGAUCAGCAGACUAUGAGCCAUGCAUAGGAUCACACACAGCUCUUUUAAAAAUUAUGAGCCACUCAGCCUCGGCCUCCG
This 669-nucleotide long non-coding RNA is filed under the name Homo sapiens (human). RNAcentral describes it as "HSALNT0357047". Lineage: Eukaryota; Metazoa; Chordata; Mammalia; Primates; Hominidae. The record is from RNAcentral.